RNAcentral lists this long non-coding RNA (208 nucleotides) under Elaeis guineensis (African oil palm). Its description in RNAcentral is "long non-coding RNA (EGUI_LNC049924)". Lineage: Eukaryota; Viridiplantae; Streptophyta; Magnoliopsida; Arecales; Arecaceae. The record is from RNAcentral.
GGAGAAAUCAAAAUUUUACAAUUCUAUUUACCUAUUCGAUGGGAUCUCCUAUGAUGUGUAGGGGUGCUGUGCGAUCUUUUUCAUGAUAAUGAAUAAUAAAAAAAUUUAAAUUUAUUUUAGAUCUAAAAUAAUGUAUAUUAGAUCUAAAAUUAGAGUCUUGAUUACUAGAUGAUUGAUUGUAAAAAAUAUUUUAUAAAAUUAAAAAUUA